CCUACGGGUGGCAGCAGUGAGGAAUAUUGGUCAAUGGGCGCGAGCCUGAACCAGCCAAGUAGCGUGAAGGAUGACUGCCCUACGGGUUGUAAACUUCUUUUAUAAAGGAAUAAAGUGAGGCACGUGUGCCUUUUUGCAUGUACUUUAUGAAUAAGGAUCGGCUAACCCAGUGCCAGCAGCCGCGGUAAUACGGAGGAUCCGAGCGUUAUCCGGAUUUAUUGGGGUUAAAGGGAGCGUAGAUGGGUUGUUAAGUCAGUUGUGAAAGUUUGCGGCUCAACCUUAAAAUUGCACUUGAUACUGGCAGUCUUGAGUACAGUUGAGGUAGGCGGAAUUCGAGGUGUAGCGGUGAAAUGCUUAGAGAUCACGAAGAACUCCGAUUGCGAAGGCAGCUUACUAAACUGCCACUGACAUUGAUGCUCGAAAGUGUGGGUAUCAAACAGGAUUAGAUACCCGUGUAGUC
This 460-nucleotide ribosomal RNA is filed under the name uncultured bacterium. Its description in RNAcentral is "partial 16S ribosomal RNA". It matches the Rfam family "Bacterial small subunit ribosomal RNA", at positions 338 to 795 of the family's 1533-position model. The record is from RNAcentral.